This 505-nucleotide ribosomal RNA is filed under the name uncultured bacterium. Its description in RNAcentral is "partial 16S ribosomal RNA". It matches the Rfam family "Bacterial small subunit ribosomal RNA", at positions 28 to 507 of the family's 1533-position model. The record is from RNAcentral.
GACGAACGCUGGCGGCGUGCCUAAUACAUGCAAGUAGAACGCACAGUUUAUACCGUAGCUUGCUACACCAUAGACUGUGAGUUGCGAACGGGUGAGUAACGCGUAGGUAACCUGCCUGGUAGCGGGGGAUAACUAUUGGAAACGAUAGCUAAUACCGCAUAAUAUUAAUUAUUGCAUGAUAAUUAAUUGAAAGGUGCAAUUGCACCACUACCAGAUGGACCUGCGUUGUAUUAGCUAGUAGGAGAGGUAACGGCUCACCUAGGCGACGAUACAUAGCCGACCUGAGAGGGUGAUCGGCCACACUGGGACUGAGACACGGCCCAGACUCCUACGGGAGGCAGCAGUAGGGAAUCUUCGGCAAUAGACGAAAGUCUGACCGAGCAACGCCGCGUGAGUGAAGAAGGUGUUCGGAUCGUAAAGCUCUGUUGUAAGAGAAGAACGGGUGUGAGAGUGGAAAGUUCACACUGUGACGGUAUCUUACCAGAAAGGGACGGCUAACUACGUG